AGUAACGCGUGGGAACGUUACCCAGAUCUAAGGAAUAGCCACUGGAAACGGUGAGUAAUACCUUAUACGCCCUUCGGGGGAAAGAUUUAUCGGAUUUGGAUCGGCCCGCGUUAGAUUAGGUAGUUGGUGGGGUAAUGGCCUACCAAGCCUACGAUCUAUAGCUGGUUUUAGAGGAUGAUCAGCAACACUGGGACUGAGACACGGCCCAGACUCCUACGGGAGGCAGCAGUGGGGAAUCUUAGACAAUGGGCGCAAGCCUGAUCUAGCCAUGCCGCGUGAGUGAUGAAGGCCUUAGGGUCGUAAAGCUCUUUCGCCUGUGAUGAUAAUGACAGUAGCAGGUAAAGAAACCCCGGCUAACUCCGUGCCAGCAGCCGCGGUAAUACGGAGGGGGUUAGCGUUGUUCGGAAUUACUGGGCGUAAAGCGCACGUAGGCGGAUUAGAAAGUUAGGGGUGAAAUCCCGGGGCUCAACCUCGGAACUGCCUCUAAAACUCCUAGUCUAGAGUUCGAGAGAGGUGAGUGGAAUUCCAAGUGUAGAGGUGAAAUUCGUAGAUAUUUGGAGGAACACCAGUGGCGAAGGCGGCUCACUGGCUCGAUACUGACGCUGAGGUGCGAAAGUGUGGGGAGCAAACAGGAUUAGAUACCCUGGUAG
RNAcentral lists this ribosomal RNA (650 nucleotides) under uncultured Roseovarius sp. RNAcentral describes it as "bacterial SSU rRNA". It matches the Rfam family "Bacterial small subunit ribosomal RNA", at positions 109 to 793 of the family's 1533-position model. The record is from RNAcentral. Lineage: Bacteria; Pseudomonadati; Pseudomonadota; Alphaproteobacteria; Rhodobacterales; Roseobacteraceae.